UUUACCUAAAAUAUAAAACAAGACUUUUAAUUUAAGCAGGAACAUCCCAUCCUGUGUUAUGGAGGAGGUCAGACUAGAUGAUCCCAAUGAUCCCUCCUGGCCUUAAAAAUCUAUGAAUUUAUUUACAAUUGAUUAGUGAACAUGUGAACUAACUCCAUUGAUUAUCCUAUUUUAAACAGUUCAACCUUAGUUUAUCCGGCCUAUGUGGGAAGAUUCAUGGAAUAAGUGGAGAUAGAGAUAUUCUGAAGAAGUAGUGUCCUACCAUGGGUCAUAUUUAGUUUUUUUAAACAGUCUUUGUAAACUGACUUCAAAGUAAAGUGGAAAAAGUACACAAACUUUUUGACACUGGGAGUCUGGAUUUACUGAGGAGAAAAGCCAGAAGAAAAGUGAGUCAUAGAUGACAAACAUGGUGGUACAAAGGAAAGAAGAGCUAGCUGGAAUGACAAAGGAAGAGCGACAAGAGGAAAACACAGGCUAGAAACAUUCCAACGCCCCCACCAUGUUCCUCAGGGCCAGGAGUGUAUGGGCUUGUCUACAUGGGGACACUCAGGAAAGUUAAUGUGAAUCAACUAAAGGUGUGAAGUUAAUGCACAUAAGUUAAAAUAUGUUAAACUACCUGUGGAUUCUCUAUUCAGGAGUAAAGUAGCCUUAGUUCACUAUAAUUUAGGAAGGAUUAAGUCCAUAUUGAAAAUAUCCACCUCAAGUUUCAGUGAGAAUCAAGAGAUAUGGGGAGUGGCAGAUAUAAAAGGUCAGGGAUGGCAGUGAUACUUUCAGAGACACUGCAGGUACUCCUGAGUAGCAAAAGAAGGGAACAGGCAUGGGUAGGGAUAAGUGAGGUUGGAAGUGGCGAGUCCAGCAGAGAAGUUUGUAGGAGUUGGGAACGGUAGAAAGGAAUGGCCAGGGCUGAGAUGAUAUCACUGGAGGUGAGGAGGAAGCAGCAGAGAAUAUGUGGGAAGAGACUAUGACAUCUAGAAGGGGAAUGGAAAGAAUUAGAGAAGAGUAGGGGACUGGUCAUGAUAUUAAUCAAUCAGUUAUCCUAAGAAACAAUUAUUGUGAAAUUGAAAGUUAGUGUGAGCCAAAUAAUCAGGGAAAUAUUAUAUGGUGAAUCAAUUAUAGCAUGCAACAAAUAUGCAGAGAAACAACAGUAAUAUGAAUCAAUGCAGAGAACCAGUUAUGAGGUGAGUCAAGUAAGCAAAUAGGUAUGUAAUUAAUCUAUUAAGGAAUUAAUCAACUACAGAGGAAAUAAGAAUGCUGACAAUUAAUUAAAAAGCAAAUCACAUAUGCAGAGUAUUAAUUAUAGACAGAAUUAAAAAAGGGUGGUGAGGAUUAAUUAUAAAGUCAGUUAUAUAGAGGGCCAUCAAAGAAUUGGAAGACAAUGGGCGACCAGUAAGGAGGCUGAAUGCUUCUGGUGUUCUUGAGAAAUCAAGGACUUGGUGAUGUCAGCAACCACAUUCUAAAAAUGUUCUGAAGGCAUGCCCUGCUCAAAGGGAGAAAUGGUGGCUGAUCUUGGCAGGGCAAUGAUGUGCCUCUCUCAAAAGACUGCUGAGAGACUAGCUAGGGUGAGAGAACUGAGUUACUCAAAUAGGGAAAACAGUGAGGCUUUACCUCCUAGUUUAAUCUAGGAGUUACUCAGACCAUCACAAGAGAACCACCACCAAAACUUUGUUAAUCAUGAAUAAAGGUAUAUUUGUUAAGGAUCAUAUGAGUUUAAAGACAGUUUACACAGCACACAAUCAGUAUUUUUAUACACAGAACUGUCAGUUUAGCAGCAACCUUUGUGGGGAGCCAGUAAUAAAAAGUUCUAAGUGACAGUCCAAAAUGAUCUGUACUUUACAUAGGCUUCUGGAAGAGAUGGAUGACAUUAAUUAUACAGCAUAAGAGUGGAAUUAUCAUAUACAAAAAUGUAUCAGUUUAGCAGCUGCAGGUGAGGAUGGGAGGGGCUUUCCUUUAAAGUCAACCCCAAAUUAUCCUUUUAUUUCACUUACAUCAUUCUAGAACAUGCAGGUGAUAAUAAUUCCCUGGUGCCAUUAAGUAAGUGUCAUACACAGAUAUCUUAGGUUAGCAUCAGCUUGAUGGGGAGGGAGUGCCAGGGAAACGCAUUCUUUCCUUGAUAGAUAAUGUCCAUUAGUUAUGUUUAGAAAUAGCUCUUGGGAGAAGAACAACGGGACAAUUCCCUUUGGUCAUCCCAGAUCCCUAUUAACAGUCUUGCUCAUUUCUGUUUAAUGAUUACUAUAUACAGAACUCUCAAGUGGAGUUCCAGAUAGAGGAAAGGAAGAAAUCCAUUUUAGCCUUUACUACACUAGAGAAUUUUAGCAAAAACUUCCCACCAACUUUCAGUGGUAGCACCCGUGGCAACCCUAGUCUACACAAGGGGUCAGCAGCUUCUUAGUUAAUUGUAUUAAUUCAAUUCAAUAUUAAAGCUGCUCCUUGAAAAGUUUAAUUAAUUAAUACUGUGAUAGAAAGCCCAGCACUGGCUUGAGUUUUGGCUAUAGCAUGCAGUUAAACAGGAGAUUAUUUUUGCUACACCUCCCUAGCAUAAACGUGGCCUGAGAAGUCUGUCUGCUCAGUUUAUCAUUAUUGUUUUAACUUUCCACUGCUCCUGUAGUGCCAAACCAGUGCUGGUAAUGCUAGCGGGGACAGGCCCUGCCGCUUACACCCUGCUCCGCAGGGGAAGUAAGAAACCCUUUGCCAGGUUUCCAAGAAAGGUCCCUCUGGUGCAUGGAGCUGCGCUGGGGGGACACGCUCAGAACCUUGCAGUGCAGCGGUAGCUACAGACGCCUGCCUGACAGCGUGCCAGGAACAAGGCUCCCUCCUUUUACCUCCCACGGGGCUCUCACGUUAGCACCAGCUCCGGGGCUGCAAGGGAAGGGAGCAGCGCACAUCUGGCUGGGCAGGCCAAGCAGGGACCGCCUUGCGUGCUGUGCGAGAGGAUGUGGGUUAGCUCAAGCAGUGGCAACGCCCCCUCCAUGCAGGUCUAUGUGGAGAGCAGCAGAGCGACGCGGGGUCGAGGCAGGGGGGGGGGCAGGAAAGGGCCCCCGGGUGGGGGGGUCUGUACGGUAACCCCGCCCUAGGCUCCUCGGAAGAGGGGAAGGGCAGGGCAAGGGGACACCCCAGCAGGACACAGUUUUUGUCGCAGCAGUGCCAGGUUACCCGAGCUCCCUUCAGGGCUCCCCACCCCACGCGCCGGGCUGCCUGCGGGCGGCGGGGGCUCGGCCAGGCACCCACCCGGCCGCCCCACGCGCCGCGCUCCCUGCGGGCGGCGGGGGCUCGGCCAGGCACCCACCCGGCCGCCCCACGCGCCGGGCUGCCUCAGGCCGCGCGGCUCGCUACCUUCCAGGGCCGCUCCUGCCGCAGGUCUCGGAAGUCCUGUCCGUAGAUGGACUCCAGCACCUGCAGCUCGUUCUCCUGGCGGAGCGGGUAACUCUCCGGGGCCUCCUCCGCCGCCGGCGCGCCGCUCACCCGGGCCAUGUCAGCUCUGGCAGCGGGAGCCGCUGCUAGCCAUGGCAGGGCCGCCGCCAAGCACUGGCCGCACCGGGCGCCUGCCACCGUGGAGGCGGCAGAGGCCCCAGCGAGAGCGCGGCCCUUCCACCUUGGGAGCCGGGCUCUGCUGCAGGCCCCACCCGCCGCUGGUGCUGCCCCCCGCGGUGGCAGGAGGAGCCGCCGCCUCUCAGGCCCUGUAAAACGAGGGCCUCACGGCCUCCUCCCUACAGCUCAGCCUCGGGACAUGUCCUGACAUUUGCACAGCGCUUCUCCACCUCAGCCCUGAUACUCCCAGACCCCGUCUGACAGAUGAAGGGGAAAGGAAAGAACAAGACUGGAGCACCCGCGGGGGAAAUGAUACUCUGAACUUUACUAGAACUGGCUCUCCAAAAGUCCUCAGUCUAAGAUUGUAAAUAUUUCAAAGUCUGUUAGGUAAACGGAUAGUUUCUAGUGUUUAUGAACCCUAGAGACUUCUCAUACACUUUCUUUUGGGGGUGUGGGCACAAUUAAGAUCGCAGCCCCAUUUUGCUAGGUGCUGCAUGAAUACACAGGAAGACGUGGUCCCAGCCCCAGAAGCUUAAUAAAAUUAUAUUUCAUGCAGUGCAUAGCCAAGUUUCAAAGCUGUAUUAAGUUCAUGUUCAGCUGUAAACUUUUGAAAGACCAAACCUAACAUUUUGCAUUUACAAACAAUCUCCAUUCCUUGAGGUGUUGGUAACGCUGAGGUUCCACUGUAUUUUUAAGGUGCUUAGCUAGCCUCAGAUGAAAAUAAUUAUAGAAUGGCAAAGUAUGGUUACUAUUAAUAAAGACUAUAUUGUGCAAAA
Molecule: long non-coding RNA, 4301 nt
Organism: Chrysemys picta bellii (western painted turtle)
Lineage: Eukaryota; Metazoa; Chordata; Testudines; Emydidae
Source: RefSeq, a predicted model, not a curated record